UCAAAACAGCGGCCUUCGGGCCCUCGCUGCACCCUUGUCUUUUGCGCACCGUAUUGUUUCCUCGGCGGGCUUGCCUGCCGGUUGGACAUCAUAAAACCUCUUUGUAGUUGCAAUCAGCGUCAGAAAAAACAAUAAUUAUUA
This 141-nucleotide unclassified non-coding RNA is filed under the name soil metagenome. RNAcentral's name for it is "partial internal transcribed spacer 1". The record is from RNAcentral.